UCGUUUGGGGGCAUUCGCAGGCUAAAGAGGGGCUGGCCCUCGACGCGCUCGGGCUCGAUUGGCCGCCCUUCCCCGGCGGCGGUAACGGUCGCGGAGGCGGGGCCUGAUGUAGUAAUCCCAGCCUAGCCGGGGCCGGGCUGGCUGCUGGUGGGAGGCGGCGACUGAGGAAGAUGAAGAUCCAGUUUCAGACAUGAGACUUGUUGGGUGAUCAUUUCAUUGAGAUCAACCUGAAUGACCAGGUGUAAAGUGCAAGAGUAGUAUGCUAUGACUGAGGAAUUGCAUGGCUGGGUCUUAUGGUAAGUGCUUAACCUUUUAAGAAAUAGCCAAAGUGAUUUACAAAGUGGUUGUACUAGUUUAAAUUCCCAUCAGCAGUAUAUGAGAGUUCUAGUUCCCUCACAUCCUCGAAAACACUUGGUAUAGUCAUUCUUAGCCAUUCUAAUAUGUGUAGUGGUGUCACAUCGUGUGUUUUAAUGUGCAUUUCCCUCCUGACUAACAAUGUUUAGCAUCUUUUUGUGUGCCUACUUGCCAUCUGUAUGUCUUCUUUUGUGAAAUGUCUAUCGAAAUUUUUUGACCAUUUUUAAGUUCCAUUGUUUACUUUUUGUUGAUGUUAACUUCCUUACUGAGUUUUGAGAGUUCCUUAUAUAUUCUGGAUAUGAACCUUUUCUGAUUCCUGAUUAUUUUCUCUGAGUAUGUGGUUUCUUUUUUCAUUCUCAGAAUGGUACCUUUUAAAGAGCAGACAUUAUUUUUGUGAAGCCCGUUUGUUCUUGAAUUGUAUCAUGCUUUUGGUGUCAUAUCAUAGACAUGUUUGCCUAACUCAAGGUCAUACAGUUUUUCUGUGUUUUUCUAGACAUGUUGUGAUUUUAAGUUUUAGAUUUAUGUCAAUUCAUUUUAAUUUUUGGUAUAUGGUGUGAGAUAUGGCUGAAAGUCCUUUUUCUUUCUUUCUUUCUUUUUUUUUUUUUUUGUAUAUGGCUAUCCCAUUGUUCUAGCAUCAUUUAUUGAAAAACAAAACUGAUUUUUUCUGCUAAAUUACCUUCAUAUCUUUGGUGAAAAUUAGUUGUCCAUAUAUGUAUGAGUCUGUUUCUGGACUCUAUUUUGUUUCAUUAAUCUGUUUGUCUACCUCGAUAUCAAUGCUACAUUGUCUUGAUUACUGUAACUUUAUAAACCUUGAAAUGAUGUAGUAUUAGUCCUUCAACUUUGUUCUUCUUUUUCAUUCAUUCAUUUAUUAAUUUAGAGAUAGGGUCUUACUUUGUCACCCAG
Non-coding RNA from Chlorocebus sabaeus (green monkey), 1257 nucleotides. Lineage: Eukaryota; Metazoa; Chordata; Mammalia; Primates; Cercopithecidae. The record is from RefSeq and is a predicted model, not a curated record.